ACCGGGAGGGUGAGAGGCCCAUGGAGGGAGCGGGUCGCGGCGCCAAGAGGCUUACCUCCUGCGUGUGUGCUGACAAGGAGGCUGCCUUUCAGGAGAGCUUCCCCCUGGGCAGUCACGAAGUGGCGCGCUGGUUCCCGGGCCACACGGACAAGGGGAAGACACGUCAGGCAUUUGCCUAAGGCUUCUGUGCAGAAUGGAGCUGGAGGAGCCUUAUUUGUGGUAAGUAAUUACUUAGAUUUCUUCAGAAUGGAAAGACUGAGAAAUUUGGGUAAAUACAACAUAAUAUUCAACACCAUUGUCUUUGGUAUUUGCUGGCCAUUGUAGAGAUUUAAAUAUAGCUAGUGGAGUUCACGUUCAUUUCAAAAAGUGUAGUUCCAGCUGAACCUCUCAAGUUUAAAUUGGCACCAGGGCAACUCUAGGAAGAAGAAUUUAGAUUACUCCAUCAUGACACAACAGAACUGUAACCUGAUUUCUAAUUACCUUUUGCUUUCUUACGAAUCAUUCUCUUGGCUCACUGAAGAUUCAGAGGCUGAACCUUGGGGAAUCCCAAAACGGCACUGGUUAGACAUACAUGGAUUUUAGUAUUACAGUGACUGUAUCGGCAGCUGGCCUUUGUAUUUUUGGUUUCCAGGGUUACCUACAGGUAGAUGUCAAGGAAUUCCUCAGCUUGGUUGCACAAUUCAGAAACGCUAAGAGAAUGUAUCCCCUUUCUGUGACAAGGUUUUUCAGGAAAUAAUGUAGUAUUUAAAGGCAAUUUAGUGGACUUGUAUGAUGAUUCAGAGUUAGUGGUGUAGUUUUAGAAAAUAAAGUCCUUCUAGGUUGAAUCUUAACAAGUUAGUUAGCCCUCCUAUUACCAAGUAGAUUCCUGCUUUGUAUUUUAUCAGCUUUGUCUAAAAGCAUAUCUAAGAUCCUUAUCUCAAGUUUCCAUUUUCUUUUCUCUUUUAUGUCCUUGUAAAAGCAGAAGUUGGCCAGUUCUGAGAGUUAACAUAUAAAGAGAUUCAGUUCUGUGUUCAACCUUACACACAAAACAUUAAUUGCUGAAAGUGUUAAUCUCAGUGUGAUUCAUUUGAUUUCCUAUUGACAUGCCAUUUCUUGUCAGUGUUUGAAGAAGGCCUGCUGCUUCUGGAGAAGAAACAAAGCUUGCUCUCAGCUAGUUUCUGUUGUGUGAGGAAGAGAUGGUGCUUCUGUAGCAGAGAGUAGGUCCCUGAGGUGAUAGGUCCCUUUGACAAUCUGAUACACCCUCUUUUGGGAAAAUGCACAUAUUUUCACACUAGAAAAUGUAUGUCUAAAUUUAGAAGUCUUUGAAUAAUUGGCAAUUUGGUGUAAUUAAAUUACAUUAGAAGCUUCAUUCUCUAAUCAAGUUGGAGAAUGCCUUUUUAGGCUUUUGGCCCGAAAGCUGCUUCUCAAUACUUCUCAGAACCUAUAAACUGUGAUUUUGAAAAUCUUUCUCAGUUUUCAAAUUCUACUAACAUCAUACUCCUCGAAUAUAUUUAAUAAUUGCUUUGGGAAUUAUUUUUUGAUGCAAUGAUAGUUUGCUGUAUAUCAUAUUAGAAUUAAAGUGAAGAGAUUCAGUGAUCAGUGGUAGUAAAGUACAAAGUUAUUCACAAUUUUGAGAGAAUUUUGAUAAUUUUGGAAAACAUUUUCUCCCCUUUGUAUGGCAUAGAGGUACUCCUGAGAGUAAGCCAGAUAUUCCAUUUGACUUCACACCAGAAAACUGCAAGGUAUGAGUUGGUUAACAUCAUAAUUAAUUUAUAGAAUAUUUAGUGUCUUCCAGAUAUAUAAAAACAGGUGCUUUUUCUUUGACACAGAGAAUAGAGGCAAUUGUAAAAGGAAAACAAAAACAAACAAAAAAACUACCCAGAAGGGCAUAAAGCAGCAGCUGUAUUUCUAGUCAUGGAUUUAGUCCAAAGACAGAAUGCAUGACUGCCCAUCUCUGCCAUGAACAAGAGCCUUUUAUCCUUGCAGGAAAUAGUAAAGGCAUUAUAGAGAAAGGGGUUUUCUUUUUUUCCAUCUUUGAGAGAAAUGGCAAUAACAAUAAUAAGGUUAAAAGUCCCAAAUGUGUGUAAUUUCCUGUCAAGAUAUUUCAAAAAUGAAUAUGCUAUUUAAAUGCUAGAAGUACAGAGAAAAGGAUCUGUUCACAGCUAAUGUGAAUCUUUUUAAUAUUUGCAUCUUUGGCUACAGGCUUUAACAAUCAUCUGUAUGAUACAUGGUAUUUAUACUAUAUGAUUAUGGCACCUUGGAAUCGGAAACAUACAGAAAUCUUAUGGGUGACUCAUUUAAAUAAAGUUAGUAUAUUCACAUAUAUUUUAGGGUUCAUUUUUUUCUGAUAGUGUUUUCAGCAGUAAUCCAAAUUUCAGUUUUUUCACAUCCUAUUUAUGUAACUCCAUUUGUAUGGUACUUUGUAGCAGUGUAUUGUUUACAAAAGUGCCAUACAGAAUUCUGUAUUAUUUGAUCCUUAUGAGAAUCAUACAACUGAUAAGCCAAUGCGAUAUAAUGGAAAAUAUCUUUUAUUUUGAAUUAAGAGACCUGAUUUUCUUCUGCUUACUUCCAUCUGCAAUGAAGAUUUUGAACUAGAUAGACAUCUUUCAAUUAUUAUGUAAUGACUUCUAAGUGAUAGAGCUGAGACUGUUUCCACUUGUAUGCAUUUUUUUCUGCUUGACACUUGUGGAUAUUCUGCUAUACUUUGUUCUCCUUUUCACUUUCUAAGUUUUAUUUGGUCUAACUAUUAGAUUGGACCAUUAUUAUCUUUCUUGGAGUAUAGGAUGUCCUCAAUUCAUCUAAUGGAAACGAUGCAAAUUUUAGCUCAUUGAUCUGGUUUUAAAAAGAAUUUUAUUGAACUGUAGUUGUUACAAUGAUGUGUUAGAUUGAAAUGUACAGCAAAGUGAUUCAGUUAUAUACAUAUAUAUAUAUAUAUUUUCAAAUUCUUUUCCAUUAUAGGCUAUAGUAAGUUAUUGAAAGUAGUUGUGUGUGAUAUACAGUAGAUCUUUGUUUUUUACUUUUAUAUAUGUUAGUGUGUAUGGGUUAAUCCCAAACUCCUUAUUUAUCUCUUUUGGUGACCAUAAAUUUGUUUUCUAUAUCUGAGUCUAUUUCUGUUUUGUAAAUAAAUUUGUAUCAUUUUUUUUUAGAUUCUACAUACAGGUGAUAUCAUAGGAUAUUUGUCUUUUCUCUGACUUACUAUGAUAAUCUCUAGGUCCAUCCAUUUUGCUGCACAUGGCAUUUCACUCCUUCUUAUGACUGAGUAAUAUUUCUCUGUGUGUGUGUGUGUGUGUGUCUCUGUGUCUGUCUGUCUGUUUACUUCUUCUUUAUCCAUCUGUCAGUGGAUAUUUAGAUUGCUUUCAGGUCUUGGCCAUUGUAAAGAGUGCUGCAAUGAACAUUGGUGUGUAUGUAUCUUUUGGAUUUAGAGCUUCCUCCAGAAAUAUGCCCAGGAGUGGGAUUGCAGGAUCAUAUGAUAACUCUAUUUAUAAUUUUUAAGGAACCUCCUUAAUGUUCUCCAAACUGGCUGCACCAGUUUAUAUUCUUACCAGCAGUGUAGGAGGGUCUCUUUUGCUCCACACCCUCUCCAGCAUUAAUUAUUUGUAGACAUUUUAAUGAUGGCCAUACUGACUGGUGUGAGGUGAUUCCUCAUUUACAUUUAUCUAUUAAUUAGCAAUAUUGAGCAUUUUUUCACAUUCCUUUUGGCCACCUGUAUGUCUUCUUUGGAGAAAUGUGUACUUAAGAGUUUUUGCCUUUUUUUUUCUUUUUUUUUAUUGUUUCUUCCGCAACACAAUUUUUUUCCCCACUGUAUAGCAUGGAGAUCCAGUUAAACAUACAUGUAUACAUACUUUUUUCUCCCAUUAUCACGCGCCAUCAUAUGUAAGGAGACAUGGUUCUCAGUGCUACACAGCGGGAUCUCAUUGUUAGUCCAUUCCAAAAGAAAAAGUUUGCAUCCAUUAACCCCAAGCUCCCAAUCCAUCCCACUCCCUCCCCCUCCUGCCAGGCAACCAUAAUUCUAUUCUCCAAGUCCAUGAUUUUCUUUUUUGUGGAAAGGUUCAUUUGUGCUGUAUAUUACAUUCCAGAUAUAAGUGAUAUCUUACAGUAUUUGUCUUUCUCUUUCUGACUUACUUCACUCAGGAUAAGAGUCUCUAGUUCCAUCCAUGUUGCUGCAAGUGGCAUUAUUUUGUUCCUUUUUAUGACUGAAUAGUAUUCCUUGUGUAUAUAUACCACAUCUUCCUAAUCCAGUCGUCUGUCAGUGAGCCUUUGGGUUGUGUCCAUGUCUUGGCUAUUGUGAAUAGUGCUGCAAUGAACAUGUGGGUGCAUGUGUCUUUGUCAAGGAAAGUUUUGACUGGAUAUAUGCCCAGGAGUGGGGUUGCUGGGUCAUAUGGUAGAUCUAUGUGUAGUUUUCUAAGAUACCUCCAUACUGUUCUCCACAGUAGUUGUACCAGCUUCCAUUUCCACCAACAGUGCAGGAAGGUUCCCUUUUCUCCACACCUCCUCCAGCAUUUGUUAUUUGUGGACUUAGUAAUGAUGGCCAUUCUGACUGGUGUGAGGUGAUAUCUCAUGGUAAUUUUGAUUUGCAUUUCUCUAAUAAUAAGGGAUGUUGAGCAUUUUUUCAUGUGCUUGUUGGCCAUCUGUGUAUCUUCCUUAGAGAAAUGUCUAUUCACAUCUUUUUGCCCAUUUUUCCAUUGGGUUGUUGGGUUUUUUGCUGUUGAGUUGUAUAGUUUGUUUGUAUAUCCUAGAGAUUAAGCCCUUGUCAGUUGCAUCAUUUGACACUAUUUUCUCCCAUUCUGUAAGUUGUCUUUUUGCUGUCUUUUUGGUUUUCUUUGCUGUGCAAAAGCUUGUCCGUUUGAUUAGGUCCCAUUGGUUUACUUUUGCUUUUAUUUCUGUUGCUUUGGGAGACUGACCUGAGAAAACAUUUGUAAGGUUGAUGUCAGAGAAUGUUUUGCCUAUGUUCUCUUCCAGGAGUUUGGUGGUGUCUUGUCUUAUAUUUAGGUCUUUCAGCCAUUUGGAGUUUAUUUUUGUGCAUGCUGUGAGGGUGUGUUCUAGUUUCAUUGAUCUGCAUGUAGCUGUCCAGGUUUCCCAGCAAUUCUUGCUGAAUAGACUGUCUUUUCCCCAUUUUAUAUUCUUGCCUCCUUUGUCAAAGAUUGCUUGACCAUAGGUGUCUGGGUUUAUUUCUCGGUUCUCUAUUCUAUUCCAUUGGUCUGUCUGUCUGUUUUGGUACCAGUACCACACUGUCUUGAAGACUGUGGCUUUGUAAUAUUUCCGGAAGUCUGGGAGAGUGAUGCCUCCUGCUUGGUUUUGGUUCCUCAGGAUUGCUUUGGCAAUUCUGGGUCUUUUGUGGUUCUGUAUAAAUUUUUGGAUUGUUUGUUCUAGUUCUGUGAAAAAUGUCAUGGGUUCUUUGAUAGGGAUUGCAUUGAAUCUGUAGAUUGCUUUGGGUAGUACGGGCAUUUUUACAAUAUUAAUUUUUCCAACCCAGGAGCAUGGAAUAUCUUUCCAUUUCCUUACAUCUUCUUUAAUUUCCUUGAAUAAUAUUUUAUAGUUUUCAGCAUGUAGGUCCUUUGCCCCCUUGCUAAGUUUGUCUUUUUUUUUCUUUUGACUUUUUAGGGUGGCACCUGCAGCAUAUGGAAGUUCCCAGGCUGCGGGUCUAAUUGGAGCUCUGGCUGCCUGCCUACGCCACAGCCUCAGCAACACCAGAUCCGAGCCAAGUCUGUGAUUUAUACCACAGCUCACAGCAAAGCUGGAUCCUUAACCCAGUGAGUGAGUCCAGGGAUAGAACCCACAUCCUUGUGCAUAUUGGUUGGGUUUACUACCACUGAGCUACAGUGGGAACUCUGCCCAUUUUUUGAUUGGGUUUUUUCUUUUUCUUCUUUUUUAAAUCUGUAUGAGCAGUUUGCAUAUUUUGGAAACUAAAUCUUUGCUGGUCACAUCAUUUGCAGUUUUAGCCUAUUCCAUAGGUUGUCUUUUCGUUUUGUUUGUGGUUUCCUUUUAAGUUUAAUUAGGUCCUGUUUGUUUAUUUUCGUUUUUAUUUCUAUUCCUCAAGGAGUUGGAGCCAAUAAUAUGUUGCUGCAAUUUAUGUGCAUAGUGUUCUACCUAUGUUUUCCUUAGGAGUUAGUAUCCAGUCUUACAUUUAAGUCUUUAAUCCAUUUGAGUUUAGUUUUGUUUAUGUAUAUGUGGUGGUAGAGAAUAUUCUAAUUUCAUUUGUUUGCACGUCACUGUCCAUUUUCCCCAGCACCUCUUAUUAAAAGAAGCUGCCUGUUCUACAUUGUAUAUUCUUGCCUCCUUUGUCGUAGAUUAAUUGAUCAUAAUUGUGUGGCUCAUUGAGCUCUUAUUUGCCUUUUUCCAUUCUCUAAUACUUGUGGACUCUUAGUAAUUUGUUUUGACUGUGAAAAAAUGUUUUAAAACAAGUUUGGUUGGUAUUAAGUAAACAGUUGCUUAUUUUUUUCAAUAAAUCAUAUAUGUGUCUAGGAUUUUCCCCAAUUCCUUACAUUAUUUUUAUAAUAGCCAACUUCCUAAGUAAUGAUUUAGGUGUGUUUCUAAUUGUAGACACUUUUUCUUGCAAAAAUUUAUAUUUUUAAUAAUGGCAAACUUGCUUGACUUGCUUAGCAGAAUGAAAUAAAUGACAAAUUAAUAUGAGAACAUUUCAAAAGUAUUGUCAGAGUUCCCACUGUGGCUCAGUGGUAAUAAACCCAAUUAGUAUCCAUGAGGAUACAGGUUCAAUCCUUGGCCUCCCUCAGAAGUUUAAGGAUCCAGUGUUGUUGUGAGCUGUGGUGUAGGUUGUAGAAUUGGCUUGGAUCUGGCAUUGCUGUGGCUGUGGUGCAGGUCUGUGGUUGAUAACUUCAGUUCCAAUUCAACCCCUCGCCUGGCAACUUUAGCUCCAAUUCCACCCCUAGCCUGGCAACUUCCAUAUGUCACAAGUGCAGCCCUAAAAAGCAAAACAAAUAAACAAACAAAC
RNAcentral lists this long non-coding RNA (6928 nucleotides) under Sus scrofa (pig). Its description in RNAcentral is "lncRNA (ENSSSCG00040005343.1)". The record is from RNAcentral. Lineage: Eukaryota; Metazoa; Chordata; Mammalia; Artiodactyla; Suidae.